This 18-nucleotide non-coding RNA is filed under the name Arabidopsis thaliana (thale cress). Lineage: Eukaryota; Viridiplantae; Streptophyta; Magnoliopsida; Brassicales; Brassicaceae. The record is from RNAcentral. RNAcentral also lists the same sequence under 1 other name.
UCCAGCGAAACCACAGCC